GGAGGCGUGUUCUGAAUUGGUAAGGAGCCGGUCUCGAAAACCGGUGGGAUGAAUAAUCCCGUAUGGGUUCGAACCCCAUCGCCUCCGCCA
This 90-nucleotide transfer RNA is filed under the name Tepiditoga sp. Its description in RNAcentral is "tRNA-Ser". It matches the Rfam family "tRNA". Rfam says of the family: Transfer RNA (tRNA) molecules are approximately 80 nucleotides in length. Lineage: Bacteria; Thermotogati; Thermotogota; Thermotogae; Petrotogales; Petrotogaceae. RNAcentral also lists the same sequence under 1 other name. The record is from RNAcentral.